UUCGAAGCAACGCGAAGAACCUUACCUAGACUUGACAUCCCCUGCAUUACUCUUAAUAGAGGAAGUCCUUCGGGACAGGGUGACAGGUGGUGCAUGGUUGUCGUCAGCUCGUGUCGUGAGAUGUUGGGUUAAGUCCCGCAACGAGCGCAACCCUUAUCAUUAGUUGCUACCAUUAAGUUGAGCACUCUAGUGAGACUGCCCGGGUUAACCGGGAGGAAGGUGGGGAUGACGUCAAAUCAUCAUGCCCCUUAUGUCUAGGGCUACACACGUGCUACAAUGGUAGGUACAAAGAGAUGCAAGACCGUGAGGUGGAGCCAAACUCAAAAACCUAUCCCAGUUCGGAUUGUAGGCUGCAACUCGACUGCAUGAAGCCCGAAUUGCUAGAAAACGCCAAUUAGCCUGUCGCUUUG
This 410-nucleotide ribosomal RNA is filed under the name uncultured bacterium. RNAcentral's name for it is "bacterial SSU rRNA". It matches the Rfam family "Bacterial small subunit ribosomal RNA", at positions 950 to 1364 of the family's 1533-position model. The record is from RNAcentral.